CGCUAGGUGUGGGUCCAUUCCACGGGGUCCGUGCCGCAGCUAACGCAUUAAGCGCCCCGCCUGGGGAGUACGGCCGCAAGGCUAAAACUCAAAGGAAUUGACGGGGGCCCGCACAAGCGGCGGAGCAUGCGGAUUAAUUCGAUGCAACGCGAAGAACCUUACCAAGGCUUGACAUGUACCGGAAACUCUCAGAGAUGGGGGCCCCGCAAGGUCGGUACACAGGUGGUGCAUGGUUGUCGUCAGCUCGUGUCGUGAGAUGUUGGGUUAAGUCCCGCAACGAGCGCAACCCUCGUUCUAUGUUGCCAGCACGUGAUGGUGGGGACUCAUAGGAGACUGCCGGGGUCAACUCGGAGGAAGGUGGGGAUGACGUCAAAUCAUCAUGCCCCUUACGUCUUGGGCUUCACGCAUGCUACAAUGGCCGGUACAGAGGGCUGCGAUACCGCGAGGUGGAGCGAAUCCCUUAAAGCCGGUCUCAGUUCGGAUUGGGGUCUGCAACUCGACCCCAUGAAGUCGGAGUCGCUAGUAAUCGCAGAUCAGCAACGCUGCGGUGAAUACGUUCCCGGGCCUUGUACACACCGCCCGUCAAGUCACGAAAGUCGGUAACACCCGAAGCCGGUGGCCCAACCCCUUGUGGGAGGGAGCUGUCGAAGGUGGGGCUG
Molecule: ribosomal RNA, 659 nt
Filed under: uncultured bacterium
Lineage: Bacteria
Description: bacterial SSU rRNA
Rfam family: Bacterial small subunit ribosomal RNA
Source: RNAcentral